RNAcentral lists this ribosomal RNA (381 nucleotides) under uncultured Legionella sp. RNAcentral describes it as "bacterial SSU rRNA". It matches the Rfam family "Bacterial small subunit ribosomal RNA", at positions 288 to 654 of the family's 1533-position model. The record is from RNAcentral. Lineage: Bacteria; Pseudomonadati; Pseudomonadota; Gammaproteobacteria; Legionellales; Legionellaceae.
UGGUCUGAGAGGAUGGCCAGCCACACUGGAACUGAGACACGGUCCAGACUCCUACGGGAGGCAGCAGUGGGGAAUAUUGGACAAUGGGGGCAACCCUGAUCCAGCAAUGCCGCGUGUGUGAAGAAGGCCUGAGGGUUGUAAAGCACUUUCAGUGGGGAGGAGGAUUGCCAGGUUAAGAGCUWARWARUAGGUAAUUGGACGUUACCCACAGAAGAAGCACCGGCUAACUCCGUGCCAGCAGCCGCGGUAAUACGGAGGGUGCGAGCGUUAAUCGGAAUUACUGGGCGUAAAGGGUGCGUAGGUGGUUUAUUAAGUUAUCUGUGAAAUCCCUGGGCUCAACCUGGGCAGGUCAGAUAAKACUGGUAAACUCGAGUAUGGGAG